Molecule: non-coding RNA, 71 nt
Organism: Hippocampus comes (tiger tail seahorse)
Lineage: Eukaryota; Metazoa; Chordata; Actinopteri; Syngnathiformes; Syngnathidae
Source: Ensembl
AAGAAAGUGACAGAACGGUUUUGUGGGUGGCUUGAAACCAUUUAAUGGGGGUUCAAUUCCCUCCUUUCUCG